This 510-nucleotide ribosomal RNA is filed under the name uncultured bacterium. RNAcentral's name for it is "bacterial SSU rRNA". It matches the Rfam family "Bacterial small subunit ribosomal RNA", at positions 15 to 518 of the family's 1533-position model. The record is from RNAcentral.
GAUUAUGGCGUCAGGAUGAACGCUAGCGGCAGGCUUAACACAUGCAAGUCGCGGGGCAGCGCGGGUAGCAAUACCUGGCGGCGACCGGCGGAAGGGUGCGUAACGCGUGAGCAACAUGCCCGUCUCAGGGGGAUAACCGAUGGAAACGUCGCCUAAUACCCCGUAACAACAGAGGCCGCAUGACCUUUGUUUGAAAGCUCCGGCGGAGACGGAUUGGCUCGCGUGACAUUAGCUGGUUGGCGGGGUAACGGCCCACCAAGGCGACGAUGUCUAGGGGUUCUGAGAGGAAGGUCCCCCACACUGGAACUGAGACACGGUCCAGACUCCUACGGGAGGCAGCAGUGAGGAAUAUUGGUCAAUGGACGCAAGUCUGAACCAGCCAUGCCGCGUGCAGGAAUGAGGCCCUUAAUGGGUCGUAAACUGCUUUUGCUGCGGAGCAAUAAGUGCUACGUGUAACACGAUGAGAGUACGCAGCGAAUAAGCAUCGGCUAACUCCGUGCCAGCCGCCGC